RNAcentral lists this ribosomal RNA (275 nucleotides) under unidentified marine bacterioplankton. RNAcentral's name for it is "partial 16S ribosomal RNA". It matches the Rfam family "Bacterial small subunit ribosomal RNA", at positions 65 to 339 of the family's 1533-position model. The record is from RNAcentral.
AGGGGUAACGAUGGCUUCGGCCAGGCGACGACCGGCGGACGGGUGAGUUCCGCGUUUGUAACCUACCUCUAACUGGAGCAUAGCUCCCGGAAACGGGAAUUAAUUCUCCAUAAUAUUCUAACAUGGCAUCAUGUUUUUAUUGAAGCUCAGGCGGUUAGAGAUGGGCAUGCGUGACAUUAGCUUGUUGGUAAGGUAACGGCUUACCAAGGCUGCGAUGUCUAGGGGGUCUGAGAGGAUGAUCCCCCACACUGGUACUGAGACACGGACCAGACUCC